RNAcentral lists this ribosomal RNA (322 nucleotides) under uncultured eukaryote. RNAcentral's name for it is "partial 18S ribosomal RNA". It matches the Rfam family "Eukaryotic small subunit ribosomal RNA", at positions 1470 to 1796 of the family's 1831-position model. The record is from RNAcentral.
CCCUUAGAUGUUCUGGGCCGCACGCGCGCUACACUGAUGCAUUCAACGAGUGUACCUUGGCCGAGAGGCCUGGGCAAUCUUUUGAACGUGCAUCGUGAUAGGGAUAGAUUAUUGCAAUUAUUAAUCUUGAACGAGGAAUUCCUAGUAAACGCAGAUCAUCAAUCUGCAUUGAUUACGUCCCUGCCCUUUGUACACACCGCCCGUCGCACCUACCGAUUGGAUGAUCCGGUGAAGCCUCGGGAUUGUGGCGGUUGCCUUUAUUGGUGGCCGCCGCGAGAACUUGUCUAAACCUUAUCAUCUAGAGGAAGGUGAAGUCGUAACA